RNAcentral lists this ribosomal RNA (253 nucleotides) under uncultured bacterium. RNAcentral describes it as "partial 16S ribosomal RNA". It matches the Rfam family "Bacterial small subunit ribosomal RNA", at positions 524 to 776 of the family's 1533-position model. The record is from RNAcentral.
UACGUAGGGACCAAGCGUUGUCCGGAAUCAUUGGGCGUAAAGAGCGUGUAGGCGGCUUGUUAAGUCUUGCGUGAAAUCUCGGGGCUCAACCCCGAGCGGUCGUGAGAAACUGGCAGGCUAGAGUGCGGGAGAGGAGAGUGGAAUUCCUGGUGUAGCGGUGAAAUGCGCAGAUAUCAGGAAGAACACCCGUGGCGAAGGCGGCUCUCUGGAACGCAACUGACGCUGAGACGCGAAAGCGUGGGUAGCAAACAGG